RNAcentral lists this ribosomal RNA (245 nucleotides) under uncultured Opitutus sp. Its description in RNAcentral is "partial 16S ribosomal RNA". It matches the Rfam family "Bacterial small subunit ribosomal RNA", at positions 524 to 768 of the family's 1533-position model. Lineage: Bacteria; Pseudomonadati; Verrucomicrobiota; Opitutia; Opitutales; Opitutaceae. The record is from RNAcentral.
UACAGAGACUGCAAGCGUUAUUCGGAUUCACUGGGCGUAAAGGGUGCGCAGGCGGCCGUGUGUGUCAGGUGUGAAAGCCCGGAGCUUAACUCCGGAAUUGCGCCUGAAACUACAUGGCUAGAGCAUUGGAGAGGGUAGCGGAAUUCACGGUGUAGCAGUGAAAUGCGUAGAUAUCGUGAGGAACACCAGAGGCGAAGGCGGCUACCUGGACAAUUGCUGACGCUCAGGCACGAAAGCGUGGGGAG